Molecule: ribosomal RNA, 483 nt
Filed under: uncultured bacterium
Lineage: Bacteria
Description: partial 16S ribosomal RNA
Rfam family: Bacterial small subunit ribosomal RNA
Source: RNAcentral
AUUGAACGCUGGCGGCAGGCCUAACACAUGCAAGUCGAGCGGAUGAAGGGAGCUUGCUCCUGGAUUCAGCGGCGGACGGGUGAGUAAUGCCUAGGAAUCUGCCUGGUAGUGGGGGAUAACGUCCGGAAACGGGCGCUAAUACCGCAUACGUCCUGAGGGAGAAAGUGGGGGAUCUUCGGACCUCACGCUAUCAGAUGAGCCUAGGUCGGAUUAGCUAGUUGGUGGGGUAAAGGCCUACCAAGGCGACGAUCCGUAACUGGUCUGAGAGGAUGAUCAGUCAACCUGGACUUGGGAACGGGCCAAAAUCCCAAGGGGGGGAGGAGUUGGGAAUUUUUGGGAAAGGGGGAAAGGCGUAAGCCACCCAGGCGCGGGGUGUAAAAAGGGUCUCGGAUUUUAAAAGCAUUUUAAGUUGGGGGGAGGGGCAGGAAGUUAAGACCUUGCUUUUUUAACUUUCCCAAAAAAAAAAGCACCGGCUAAUUCCGG